UACGAAGGGGGCUAGCGUUGCUCGGAAUUACUGGGCGUAAAGGGCGCGUAGGCGGCCCGCUAAGUCGAACGUGAAAUCCCCGAGCUCAACUCGGGAACUGCGUCCGAUACUGGCGGGCUUGAAUCCGGGAGAGGGAUGCGGAAUUCCAGGUGUAGCGGUGAAAUGCGUAGAUAUUCGCAAGAACACCAGUGGCGAAGGCGAACUUCCUGGCCUGUUCUUGACGCUGA
This 227-nucleotide ribosomal RNA is filed under the name uncultured bacterium. Its description in RNAcentral is "partial 16S ribosomal RNA". It matches the Rfam family "Bacterial small subunit ribosomal RNA", at positions 524 to 749 of the family's 1533-position model. The record is from RNAcentral.